This 371-nucleotide unclassified non-coding RNA is filed under the name uncultured Pseudomonadota bacterium. Its description in RNAcentral is "uncultured proteobacterium contains 16S-23S intergenic spacer region". The record is from RNAcentral. Lineage: Bacteria; Pseudomonadati; Pseudomonadota.
UCCGGUUUGUCACCGGCAGUCUCAUUAGAGUGCCCUUUCGUAGCAACUAGUGACAAGGGUUGCGCUCGUUGCGGGACUUAACCCAACAUCUCACGACACGAGCUGACGACGGCCAUGCAGCACCUGUGUUCAGAUUCUCUUUCGAGCACUCCCAAAUCUCUUCAGGAUCUCUGACAUGUCAAGGGUAGGUAAGGUUUUUCGCGUUGCAUCGAAUUAAACCACAUGCUCCACCGCUUGUGCGGGCCCCCGUCAAUUCCUUUGAGUUUUAAUCUUGCGACCGUACUCCCCAGGCGGAGUGCUUAAUGCGUUAGCGGCGCCACUGAACCCUACGGGCCCAACGGCUAGCACUCAUCGUUUACGGCGUGGACUAC